AUAAACAUCAUAAACAUGACAUGAAUAUCAAUCACAACACCUUUAAUCAUGUAAUUGAUAUAUCAUGCAUCAUAACAUUAUAAACAUAUCAGUCGUCAUCAUCAACAUAAUAUCAGUCAUCAUCAUCAACAUAAUAUCAAUCAUCAACUACAACAUCUCAUUAUGCAUUUUCAACUACCAUCAAUGCGUAAUCACAACUACAGGCGACUCUUAAAAUUUAAUUUGAAGAUCUAAUAGUAGUACCUCAAAAUUAGCUAGAAUCCUGGUUGACAGUCAAAAAUCAAUGAACCCAAUCCUAAACAUACAAGGAACCAAUUUAAUAACUUAAUAAAAUUAACGAUUGAAUAUAGACCCAAAAAUCAUCUUCAAUCAACCCAAAGUUGAGGUUGCAACCAAUUCAACCUUGCUUAAUUCUUCCAAUUGAGCCCAUUAACCUUCAAUUGAAAAAUCCAAAUUAAAAUCUAAUUAAACUAAUCCUAACGUUAACAAAAUUAUAACCAUGACCAAUAACUAACACUAAUAAUUAAUUCUUGUUAGGUGUAUCUUAAAUCCUAUUAAUGUAAAUAAAUUAGGCUUAGUUAAUUUGGGUAAUGAUGUUAAUGUAAAUAAAGUAGGCUUAGUUAUUUUGGGUAAUUACCCUUGUAUAAAUACACAACAUUGGUCAAUAAACAAUGAGAGGGAAUAUUCUUCAGCAUAUCCUUCAACAUGGUAUCAGAGCUAGGGUUUUGAGGCUCCAUCUCAAUCGCCGCCGCCGUCGCCGCCGCCGCCCGUGAACGCCUCCAUCCCGAAUCGUCUCGAUACCUCCAGGAAGAGCUGCGUCCCGAAUCGUCUCCAUCAUCCUCGUCGCGCCUCGCAGCUGUUCCGCCACAUCUCGAACCGUCUCCGUCAUCCUCGUCGCGCCGAUUAGUCGCAGCUCCGAUCUGUCUUCAUCCGCGAAGCGCCAGUCGUCUCCGAUUUACAGCUCCGAUAGUCGCGCCACAUCUCGAUCUGUCUCAGGUGUCCAUCUCCGCUCCGAUCUGUCUCAAGCUGGUUCCGCUCCGAUCUGUCUCAAGCUUCGCCGCCCAUUCCUUCGCCGCCGCUCUUCAACCCAGAUCCGUCAUCUUGGAUGUCUCCAUCCGCAGCCGAGCUCUAGAUCUGUCGUCGUGCCCAUUCCUUCGCCGCCGCUCCGCAACCCAGAUCCGUCGCUGCAAUCGUCGGUCGGUUCGUGAAGCAUCGCCGCCCAUUCCUUCGCCGCCGCUCUUCAACCCAGAUCCGUCAUCUUGGAUGUCUCCAUCCGCAGCCGAGCUUUAGAUCUGUCGCCGUGCCCAUUCAUUUUCUCUCCGUUCGUAAAGACCUGCUGCGCAAUCUCUGUCUCCGUCAAGGCAAAUCUCAGCCGCCAAAUACAGUAAAACUCAAAUCAAAAUGGAGAGAGACCAUAUCUUUAGACCCAUUUCUACAAUACUUGAUGGUACAAAUUAUAUCACAUGGGCAAAUCAAAUGAAAAGUUUUCUUAUUGGAAGAAAACUAUGGCGCAUUGUAACUGGCGACAUCACCAAACCAACUGCAAAGGAAGGGGAUAACACAUUCAUUGAACGUCUCGAAGAUUGGGACAGUAAAAAUCAUCAAAUUAUCACCUGGCUUGGUAACACCUCUAUUCCCGCUAUACAUGCACAGUUUGAUGCCUUUGAUGAUGCUAAAAUAUUAUGGGAUUUUUUGUCUACACGCUUCAAGUCUAUUGGUUUAGCCCAUUAUUACCAACUGCACAGUACACUUGUAAAUCUAAAUCAAGAUAUUGGUCAGUCUGUUAAUGAAUAUUUGGCAGUUCUUCAACCCAUUUGGACUCAACUUGACCAAGCGAACAUCAGCAAAGAUCAUCUUCGCCUUAUUAAAGUCCUUAUGGGAUUACGUCCAGAAUAUGAAUCUGUUAGAGCUGCUUUACUACACCGGAAUCCCUUACCCUCAUUAGAUGCAGCUAUUCAAGAAAUUCUGUUUGAAGAAAAGCGUCUUGGCAUCAACUCUACUAAACAAUCUGAUGUUGUCCUUGCUAGCACAUACACUCCCAACAGAGCCGCAAAUAUGUUUUGUAAGAAUUGUAAGCUCUCUGGUCACAAAUUUAGUAACUGUCCUAAAAUAGAGUGCAGGUACUGCCAUAAACAUGGCCACAUUCUGGAUAACUGCCCUACCAGACCACCCCGACCUCCUAGCACUUCCACAAAAGAGAAAAUUUUUACCAAACAUGGUUCCUCAUCUGUUGUUGCUGCGACCUCGGAUGAUUCAUCCCUCAUUCAGAUAAGUGAUCUUCAGAGCUUAUUGAAUCAACUAAUUUCAUCAUCCUCCGCUCUGGCUGUUUCAUCAGGUAAUCGAUGGCUUCUUGAUUCUGCCUGUUGUAAUCAUAUGACCUCUGACUCUUCUCUUAUGUCUACUUCUAGCCCUACAAAAUCUUUACCUCCUAUUUAUGCUGCUGAUGGUAAUUGUAUGAACAUCUCUCAUACUGGUACCAUUGAUACUCCCAGUGUACAUCUUCCCCAUACUUACUGUGUUCCUAACCUGACCUUUAAUCUAGUGUCUGUUGGUCAAUUAUGUGAUCUGGGCUUAAAUGUUUCAUUUUCUCCCAAUGGUUGUCAGGUUCAGGAUCCGCAGACGGGACAGACGAUUGGAACGGGUCGCAAAGUGGGAAGAUUGUUUGAGCUCACAUCACUUCGGAUUUCAUCUCCUUCUUCCAUCUCUGCUUCGGUCACUGAUUCUGACACAUAUCAGUGGCAUCUUCGUCUUGGUCAUGCUUCCUCUGAAAAACUUCGUCAUUUAAUUUCUGUUAACAAUUUGACUAAUCUUACUAAAUUUGUUCCUUUUAAUUGUUUGAAUUGCAAACUUGCUAAACAACCUGCCUUAUCUUUUUCUCAAUCCAUCUCUAAUUGUGAUAAACCUUUUGAUUUAGUGCAUUCUGAUAUUUGGGGUCCUGCCCCAAUUACUACUGUUCAUGGUUAUCGCUACUAUGUUUUAUUCAUUGAUGACUACUCUCGAUUUACAUGGAUUUACUUUCUAAAACAUCGUUCUGAAUUAUCUCGCACAUAUAUUGAGUUUGCUAACAUGAUUCGCACUCAAUUUUCCUCUCCCAUCAAAAUUCUUCGCACUGAUAAUGCUUUGGAAUAUAAAGAUUCCAUCCUUCUUUCUUUUCUUUCCCAACAGGGCACUAUUGUUCAGCGCUCUUGCCCUCAUACCUCUCAACAAAAUGGACGUGCUGAGCGCAAACAUCGUCACAUUCUUGACUCAGUACGUGCCCUCCUUCUUUCUGCCUCUUGUCCAGAAAAAUUCUGGGGUGAAGCUGCCCUUACAUCAGUAUAUACAAUCAAUCGUCUCCCUUCCUCUGUCCUUCAAAAUACCUCUCCGUUCGAAAAACUAUAUGGUAUUUCUCCCGACUAUUCUAAACUCAAAGUUUUUGGUAGUGCCUGCUUCGUUCUGUUACAUCCUCAUGAACACAAUAAACUUGAACCACGUGCCCGUCUCUGUUGCUUCCUUGGCUAUGGCACCGAACACAAAGGAUUUCGUUGUUGGGACCCUCUUUCCAACCGACUCCGGAUAUCUCGGCAUGUCACUUUUUGGGAACACACUAUGUUCUCUCGUUUGUCCUCCUUCCACACCUCCUUCUCUAGUCCUCAAUCUUUCUUUACAAACACAUCUGUUGACCUUUUUCCUCUCUCUGAACCCACCUUGGAUACUGAGCUUGCACAAUCUUCACCUGCUACUGCAAAUCUGGAUCCACCGUCUGUCUCCGAUGAUGUUCCUGAAUCGCCACCUGCUACUCCUCUUCGUCGCUCUACCCGGGUAAGAGAACCUCCCCCUCAUCUCACUGAUUACCAUUGUUUUUCUACCAUUGUUUCCCUUGUUGAACCCACCUCUUAUCAAGAGGCCAGUAUUAACCCAGUAUGGCAGAAAGCAAUGGAUGAAGAAUUACAGGCUCUUGAAAAGACGCACACUUGGGACUAUGUUGAUUUACCUCCCGGUAAAAGACCCAUUGGUUGCAAAUGGAUUUACAAAAUCAAAACUCACUCUGAUGGAACUAUUGAACGUUAUAAAGCUCGGCUUGUUGCAAAAGGAUACUCACAAGAAUAUGGGAUUGACUAUGAAGAAACAUUUGCCCCUGUUGCCCGGAUGACAUCUGUUCGCAGCUUGUUAGCUGUUGCUGCUGCCAAACAGUGGCCUCUUUUUCAGAUGGAUGUCAAAAAUGCAUUUCUUAACGGCAACCUAUCUGAAGAAGUGUAUAUGAAGCCACCUCAGGGAACUUCUCCUCCUCCCAACAAGGUGUGUCUCCUUCGUCGCGCUCUAUACGGUCUAAAACAGGCUCCACGAGCUUGGUUUGCCACGUUUAGCUCCACCAUUACUCAACUUGGAUUUACCUCCAGCUCUCACGACAAUGCCCUUUUUACACGACAGACAACUCAUGGUAUUGUUCUUCUCCUUCUUUAUGUUGAUGAUAUGAUUAUUACUGGUAAUGAUCAACAGGCCAUAUCCGACCUACAACAAUAUCUUGGUCAACAUUUUGAGAUGAAAGACCUUGGAUCUCUCAAUUACUUUCUCGGUCUUGAAGUCUCUCACCGUUCAGAUGGUUAUCUGUUAUCUCAAGCGAAAUAUGCAUCUGAUCUAAUAGCACGCUCAGGAAUUACAGACUCCACCACAUCUUCAACACCGUUAGAUCCUCAUGUCCAUCUAACUCCGUUUGAUGGUGUUCCUCUUGACGAUGCAAGCUUGUAUCGGCAACUUGUUGGCAGUCUUAUAUACCUAACAGUAACUCGCCCAGAUAUUGCAUAUGCUGUUCAUAUUGUCAGUCAAUUUAUGGCUGCUCCUCGAACAAUUCAUUUCACUGCUGUUCUACGCAUACUUCGCUAUGUCAAAGGCACCUUGGGACAUGGUCUUCAAUUCUCAUCUCAGUCUUCCCUUGUGUUGUCGGGAUAUUCUGAUGCUGAUUGGGCGGGGGAUCCUACUGAUCGACGAUCCACUACAGGAUACUGUUUUUACUUAGGUGAUUCUCUCAUCUCAUGGCGUAGUAAGAAACAAAGUGUUAUAUCUCGUUCCAGUACGGAAUCUGAAUAUCGUGCUCUGGCUGAUGCUACAGCUGAACUUAUAUGGCUUCGGUGGCUCCUUGCCGAUAUGGGUGUCCCUCAACAGGGUCCUACCCUCCUCCAUUGUGACAAUCGUAGUGCCAUUCAGAUUGCUCACAAUGAUGUGUUUCAUGAACGUACAAAACACAUUGAAAAUGACUGUCACUUUGUUCGUCACCACCUCUUAAGCAACACCCUCCUCUUACGUUCUGUUUCUACUAUUGAACAACCUGCGGAUAUCUUCACCAAAGCCUUGCCAUCUAAUCGAUUUUGUCACUUACUUACCAAACUCAAGUUGAUCGCUACUCUACCACCUUGAGUUUGAGGGAGGGUAUUAAUGUAAAUAAAUUAGGCUUAGUUAAUUUGGGUAAUGAUGUUAAUGUAAAUAAAGUAGGCUUAGUUAUUUUGGGUAAUUACCCUUGUAUAAAUACACAACAUUGGUCAAUAAACAAUGAGAGGGAAUAUUCUUCAGCAUAUCCUUCAACAAAUCCAAAUCAAGAACUCGUUAAGUUCACCCAAAAGAUAGCUCCAAAAGCAAACGACUUAAAGAAGUGAAGGUAAGCUCGCGACUCGACUAGGAAAAGGCAAAGAAUAACUUGGUUGCAUGACUGAAAAAAUGAGAGAAACACACAGCUUGAUCUGGAGAAUCUGCUUGCGAAGUCGAAGUGAAAGACAACUUAGUUACGAUAUAUGCAAAGACUUACCGUCGAACGUGAAGCACGACUGGACGGAGGGUGGAAUACGGUGUGCAGCUGGGCUUGGAGUUUGAUGAAUGGGGAGUGGUUCGACCAGCAGUGUGCAACAGUGGAGAUACAUCGCAGUCGAACUCCAAAGUUGGCUCACUCCGGCUCGGGAUGCAUGAUAGGAACGAAGACUAGGCAGAGACUUCGACGGACAGAAACGCUUCUUGUGAUUGUCUUCAAUGACGACAAACCUGUGUGGUGGUACAGACAAGGUGAAGUUAAACAGGAAAGAAGAUGAUGGUUGUGGUAGGGCACACAAU
This 6078-nucleotide long non-coding RNA is filed under the name Cucumis sativus (cucumber). RNAcentral's name for it is "long non-coding RNA (CSAT_LNC001162)". The record is from RNAcentral. Lineage: Eukaryota; Viridiplantae; Streptophyta; Magnoliopsida; Cucurbitales; Cucurbitaceae.